UGAUAGGGAUCCUAAGUGCUCUGCUUAUAGCAGGGCUUUUGCCAAAUGUAAAUAGUUUGGAGAAUAAGUGGUGGGCAAGACUGGUGCCAGCCGCCGCGGUAACACCAGCGUCCACGAGUGGUAGCCAUUUUUAUUGGGCCUAAAGCGUCCGUAGCCGGUUUGGCAGGUUCUUUGUGAAACUGUUAGGCUUAACCUAACAACGCGCAGAGGAUACCUCCGAACUUGGAACCGGGAGGGGUUAGAGGUAUUCUAGGGGGAGCGGUAAAAUGUUAUAAUCCCUAGAGGACCACCUGUGGCGAAGGCGUCUAACCAGAACGGAUUCGACGGUGAGGGACGAAAGCUAGGGGAGCAAUCCGGAUUAGAUACCCGAGUAGUCCUAGCUGUAAACGCUGCGAGCUAGGUGUUGCACAUCCUUAGUGAAUGUGCAGUGUCGGAGCGAAGGUGUUAAGCUCGCCGCCUGGGAAGUAUGGUCGCAAGACUGAAACUUAAAGGAAUUGGCGGGGGAGCACUACAAGGGGUGCGGCGUGCGGUUUAAUCUAAUUCAACGCAGAGCAUCUCACCAGAGGCGACGGCAGGAUGAUGGUCAGUCUAAAGGGCUUACCAGACGAGCCGAGAGGUAGUGCAUGGCCGCCGUCAGCUCGUGCCGUAAGGUGUCCUGUUAAGUCAGGCAACGAGCGAGACCUGUAUCUACAAUUGCUAACGAGUCUGCAAAGAUGAUUGAGCACAUUGUGGGGACUGCCUUGGAAACAAGGAGGAAGGCGCAGGCUACGGUAGGUCUGUAUGCUCCGAAUCUUCUGGGCUACACGCGCGCAACAAUGGUAGGAACAAUGGGAUACAACUCCGAAAGGAGAAGUUAACCCUCUAAAUCCUAUCUUAGUUCAGAUUGAGGGCUGUAACUCGCCCUCAUGACGUUGGAAUCCCUAGUAAUCGGGUGUUAUCAUCACCCGGUGAAUAUGUCCCUG
RNAcentral lists this ribosomal RNA (962 nucleotides) under uncultured euryarchaeote. Its description in RNAcentral is "bacterial SSU rRNA". It matches the Rfam family "Archaeal small subunit ribosomal RNA", at positions 370 to 1332 of the family's 1478-position model. Lineage: Archaea; Methanobacteriati; Methanobacteriota. The record is from RNAcentral.